This 450-nucleotide ribosomal RNA is filed under the name uncultured organism. RNAcentral describes it as "partial 16S ribosomal RNA". It matches the Rfam family "Bacterial small subunit ribosomal RNA", at positions 333 to 799 of the family's 1533-position model. The record is from RNAcentral.
ACACUCCUGCGGGAGGCAGCAGUGGGGAAUAUUGGACAAUGGGCGCAAGCCUGAUCCAGCCAUGCCGCGUGAGUGAUGAAGGCCCUAGGGUUGUAAAGCUCUUUCACCGGAGAAGAUAAUGACGGUAUCCGGAGAAGAAGCCCCGGCUAACUUCGUGCCAGCAGCCGCGGUAAUACGAAGGGGGCUAGCGUUGUUCGGAAUUACUGGGCGUAAAGCGCACGUAGGCGGAUCGAUCAGUCAGGGGUGAAAUCCCAGGGCUCAACCCUGGAACUGCCUUUGAUACUGUCGAUCUGGAGUAUGGAAGAGGUGAGUGGAAUUCCGAGUGUAGAGGUGAAAUUCGUAGAUAUUCGGAGGAACACCAGUGGCGAAGGCGGCUCACUGGUCCAUUACUGACGCUGAGGUGCGAAAGCGUGGGGAGCAAACAGGAUUAGAUACCCGAGUAGUCCCAUG